UGGGGAAUAUUGCGCAAUGGGCGAAAGCCUGACGCAGCGACGCCGCGUGAGGGAUGAAGGUCUUCGGAUCGUAAACCUCUGUCAGGAGGGAAGAAAGGCCCAGGUGCUAAUCAGCCUGGGAUUGACGGUACCUCCAAAGGAAGCACCGGCUAACUCCGUGCCAGCAGCCGCGGUAAUACGGAGGGUGCAAGCGUUAAUCGGAAUUACUGGGCGUAAAGCGCACGUAGGCGGCUUUAUAAGUCAGAGGUGAAAUCCCACGGCUCACCCGUGGAACUGCCUUUGAUACUGUUUAGCUUGAGUUUGUGAGAGGAUAGUGGAAUUCCAGGUGUAGGAGUGAAAUCCGUAGAGAUCUGGAGGAACAUCAGUGGCGAAGGCGACUAUCUGGUGCAACACUGACGCUGAGGUGCGAAAGCGUGGGGAUCAAACA
This 427-nucleotide ribosomal RNA is filed under the name uncultured Desulfovibrionaceae bacterium. RNAcentral describes it as "partial 16S ribosomal RNA". It matches the Rfam family "Bacterial small subunit ribosomal RNA", at positions 355 to 774 of the family's 1533-position model. The record is from RNAcentral. Lineage: Bacteria; Pseudomonadati; Thermodesulfobacteriota; Desulfovibrionia; Desulfovibrionales; Desulfovibrionaceae.